This 253-nucleotide ribosomal RNA is filed under the name uncultured bacterium. Its description in RNAcentral is "partial 16S ribosomal RNA". It matches the Rfam family "Bacterial small subunit ribosomal RNA", at positions 524 to 776 of the family's 1533-position model. The record is from RNAcentral.
UACAGAGGGUGCAAGCGUUAAUCGGAAUUACUGGGCGUAAAGCGUGCGUAGACGGUUAUGUAAGUCGGGUGUGAAAGCCCCGGGCUCAACCUGGGAACUGCAUUGGAAACUAACGGGCUCGAGUGUGGCAGAGGGGGGUGGAAUUCCACGUGUAGCAGUGAAAUGCGUAGAGAUGUGGAGGAACACCGAUGGCGAAGGCAGCCCCCUGGGCUAACACUGACGCUCAGGCACGAAAGCGUGGGGAGCAAACAGG